Long non-coding RNA from Papaver somniferum (opium poppy), 2392 nucleotides. RefSeq lists it as uncharacterized. The record is from RefSeq and is a predicted model, not a curated record. Lineage: Eukaryota; Viridiplantae; Streptophyta; Magnoliopsida; Ranunculales; Papaveraceae. The transcript is spliced from 8 exons.
GUCUAACUCUACCUCUCAUUCUCUUCUCUUCCUCUCUCGUUCUCUUCUUUAAUUCAUUUUCUUGCUCUUUCGAAAAAUAAAAUCAUUCGAUCAAUAUUUUCAAAUCGUUCAAAUGAAAACUUAGGUUCUUCAUAUUUUGGGUUGUCGCUGCUGAUAUUUAUGAAAGGUGGUAAUCUUAUUGAUGUAUGGUAUCCCUAGAACUUCGAUCGAUGAUCUGCAAUCACUUGUGGUGGGAGGAAAGAAAAUUUUCUGCAUCAUUGUAAUCCUAAUUUGAAAUGAUUAUACACGAUUUUGUAAAACAGGGAAAUUAGGUUUAUAUCAAUUUAGGGUUUUUAUAUAAUUUGAUGGUUAAGCAUCAAAUUCUGAUAAUUUAGAGUUCUUGAAUGAAUGAAAUUAUUAGGUUUUGUAUCUAAUUCGAGAUUGCAGGGGUUUAGAAUAAUAAUUGGAGCUAUAAAAAGGAUGAGACUAGGGAAACAGAAAGACACAAUCGAUUACACCCCUUGCAUGCUUGAGAAAGUCUCCACAGAUGCAUGAGAUGCACCAUCUUUUCCAUCACCUAAAUAAGUAUACUAUCCACUAUUCGCCACCACCAGCUUGUUCUCACACAUCCCCAUCUUCAGAACCAUUUAUCCCAGACAGUUCAGGGUGCAAGUAGGAGAAAACUGAUGGUGCACUGUGUGAGGAGAUGUUAUGAGCUUGUGUAUGGACUGUUGGUGUGGACGCGAGCAGGUGAUAUAGGAGGUAGCUGGUGAUGGUGGUAAAGGUCGGCGAGAGAAGUUUUUCUGUUGGUAGAGUUCAGGUCGUGUAUUUGGUAAUAGAAAGUGAUACUAGGUGGCAUUGGACGUACAAAUGAUGUAUGAAGGAACUUCAGGGUAGUGUAAAUGUCUUAUUUGAUAGCAUGAUAACCAAAGGUAAAGUUUCUUGCUGACGCUGUUUUAUAAGUAACCUACAUCUUGUAAACCUUGAACAUGCAUGAUAUAGUUUAACAUAUGAAACUCAUAUUAUUUCAGCAUGUUCCUAAAUUUGGAAAUCUGUUAAACACAAAUGUGACUUUUUGUGGUGCUCCAUCGGUUUAUUCUUCUAAAUGAUUGUUCAGCUGUAGGAUAGCUCAGGUUCUUGAUUCCACUUUUGAAUUGCAGCUACGUUCAGGACAUAAGCAAAUGAGGAAAUAAAUAGGUAUUGCAGCUGGAUUGUCCAUUUACUUGUGAUUUGUUUUGUUUAGUUUUUAUGUAUAAUGACAUGUUACCCUCAGUAGUUUGAGUAAUACCAUCUCCCAAUUUCAAGCUAUAGUUGAUUUUAACCAUGCUGCGAAAACAUUAAAGAAAUACAAGCAGUCUUGAUGGGGAGAUAGAGUUAGAACAACCACUGUCAGAAAGGAUCAUACUUCAUCUGGUUUAAGGUAGCAAUAUGUUUCUUCUGUUGAUUCAUAUUCGUUACCGCUAGUAAUUUCUGGUAUAACACUCUAACUCAUCCAGGAAAAAAAAGAAAGAGUAUAUGCUAUGAAAGAUUGUGAAACAAGUCCUUGUGCAUCAUUCUCGAGUAUAACUGCACUUUCGGAAUAUGCAACCGGGCUUCUUAGUUAUUGUGCUUGGCAUUAGUUACGGUUGUUAACACUGUAUACAUUCUUGUGUUAACUCUUUUAUUGUAUCUUGAGAUCUAGCAUUCCGUGACUUGUUUUUGUGUAGGUUGCAGAAUAAGGGUUUGUGGAUUGAUAUUAUCAAGUUGGAGACAAUAAGUUUUCUUUUUAUCAACUGGCGCAGAGGUCGAAUGUUUUUAUGUAGAAAAUUUUAUAAUUCCGAUGAGAAGUCAAAAGAGCAACAGAAUUGUUAGUGAAUGUUGCUGGUCAUGGUGAAGACAACAGGUUUUGAGGUGCCUUGCCUCAUCGUUUUGGCUAAGGAUGAUCUUGAUCCUUUUGUACUGUCCAUACAAAAUUCAACCAGGAUAUGCGUUAGUGAGAUAUGGCCAUCUUGUCUAUACCAAAAUCAUGUGUUGAUUAACCACUUUGUUGAUGUUAAGGGAUUUGUCCCAAGAUCCAGUUUCUGUUAUUCAACUAGUUUCCGGGUAUGGACUUGCCAUACUUAUAUCUCUUCCCAAUUUUAUCUAGCAGGUGUUGGAAUUAGAGGUGUAGGUGUUGGAGGAGAUGAUCAAAAGGCGUCAAGCAUAAAUGCUUUAACUGAUGAUUACCAUGAUCACCUCGGCAAAGUUCAAGGUUCUUCAUUUUAUUGUAUCUGAAAAACCAAUAGUAUACUUGUCAUUUUUUUUGAUACUACCCAAAAACUUGUAUGUCCUUGGAACUUUUGUGAUGUGUGUCUUACUUUUUGUGUAUAUGGAGUUAAUCAUUAAAUGUUAUGGUGAAUUAAAUUGAAAGAAAUAUUUUAUUGAUACUUUUGGU